This 76-nucleotide transfer RNA is filed under the name Pseudomonadota bacterium. RNAcentral's name for it is "tRNA-Lys". It matches the Rfam family "tRNA". Rfam says of the family: Transfer RNA (tRNA) molecules are approximately 80 nucleotides in length. Their secondary structure includes four short double-helical elements and three loops (D, anti-codon, and T loops). Further hydrogen bonds mediate the characteristic L-shaped molecular structure. tRNAs have two regions of fundamental functional importance: the anti-codon, which is responsible for specific mRNA codon recognition, and the 3' end, to which the tRNAs corresponding amino acid is attached (by aminoacyl-tRNA synthetases). tRNAs cope with the degeneracy of the genetic code in two manners: having more than one tRNA (with a specific anti-codon) for a particular amino acid; and 'wobble' base-pairing, i.e. permitting non-standard base-pairing at the 3rd anti-codon position. The record is from RNAcentral. RNAcentral also lists the same sequence under 2 other names. Lineage: Bacteria; Pseudomonadati; Pseudomonadota.
GGUCCGAUAGCUCAGUUGGUAGAGCAACUGGCUUUUAACCAGUGGGUCGCAGGUUCGAUUCCUGCUCGGAUCACCA